CAACAGGGAUUGCCCCAGUAACGGCGAGUGAAGCGGCAUGAGCUCAAAUUUGAAAUCUGGUGCCCCCCCAAGGGGGAACCUGAGUUGUAAUUUGGAGAGGAUGUUUCGGGCAACGGGUCGGCCUAAUUCACUUGGAACAGUGGGUCAGAGAGGGUGAGAAUCCCGUCUGGGGCCGUCCCCCGGCGCCCGUGUGAAGCUCCUUCGACGAGUCGAGUUGUUUGGGAAUGCAGCUCUAAAUGGGUGGUAAAUUUCAUCUAAAGCUAAAUACCGGCCAGAGACCGAUAGCGCACAAGUAGAGUGAUCGAAAGAUGAAAAGCACUUUGGAAAGAGAGUUAAACAGCAUGUGAAAUUGUUGAAAGGGAAGCGUUUGCGACCAGACGUGCAGGCGGUGGCUCCCCCGGUCCUCCCUGGAUCGGGAUAUUCCUACCGCCUCCAGGCCAGCAUCGGCCCGGACGACCGGUUAAAUACCCCGGGAAUGUAUCUACCUUUGGGUCGACUUAUAGCCCGGGGUCCAAUACGGCCUGCCCGGGCCGAGGAACGCACUUCGGUUCGGAUGUUGGUGUAAUGGUCGCAAACGGCCCGUCUUGAAACACGGACCAAGGAGUCUAACAUCUAUGCGAGUGUUUGGGUGUUAAACCCCGACGCGGAAUGAAAGUGAACGGUGGUAAGAGCCUCCCCUACGGGGGGGCGCAUUAUCGACCGAUCCUGAUGUCUUCGGAUGGAUUUGAGUAAGAGCAUAGCUGUUGGGACCCGAAAGAUGAUGAACUAUGCCUGGAUAGGGUGAAGCCAGAGGAAACUCUGGUGGAGGCUCGCAGCGGUUCUGACGUGCAAAUCGAUCGUCAAAUUUGGGCAUAGGGGCGAAAGACUAUCGAUC
Molecule: ribosomal RNA, 874 nt
Filed under: Verrucaria halizoa
Lineage: Eukaryota; Fungi; Ascomycota; Eurotiomycetes; Verrucariales; Verrucariaceae
Description: eukaryotic LSU rRNA
Rfam family: Eukaryotic large subunit ribosomal RNA
Source: RNAcentral